GACCCCUCAAGCGUAGCUUGGUUUUGGGCGUUUUUGUCCUAUUUCUGUAAUGGGACUCGCCUUAAAAGAAUCGGCGCCAAGUAAGCCAAUUCGCGGGCACAGUACAUUGUGGCUCCCAUGAUUGGGUUAGCGUAGCUGCCGUUAAAUCUUUUUCUAUUCUGA
This 162-nucleotide unclassified non-coding RNA is filed under the name uncultured soil eukaryote. RNAcentral describes it as "sequence contains ITS2". The record is from RNAcentral.